CUCUGGUAUUGGUGCUGCAGCUGGUGUUGUGAAUCAGGCCGACGAGCAGCGCAUCUCUUACCCGGCGAUUUCACGACACAGGUGCAUCAUACCCAUCUUCU
RNAcentral lists this microRNA precursor (101 nucleotides) under Tupaia belangeri (northern tree shrew). Lineage: Eukaryota; Metazoa; Chordata; Mammalia; Scandentia; Tupaiidae. The record is from RNAcentral.